This 253-nucleotide ribosomal RNA is filed under the name uncultured bacterium. RNAcentral's name for it is "partial 16S ribosomal RNA". It matches the Rfam family "Bacterial small subunit ribosomal RNA", at positions 524 to 776 of the family's 1533-position model. The record is from RNAcentral.
GACAGAGGAGGCGAGCGUUAUCCGGAGUUAUUGGGCGUAAAGGGUACGUAGGCGGCUGGUCAAGUCUGGGGUUAAAGACCACAGCUUAACUGUGGGGGGGCCUUGGAAACUGACCGGUUGGAGUGGGGCAGGGGUUGCGGGAAUUCCCGGUGUAGCGGUGAAAUGCGUAGAUAUCGGGAAGAACACCUGAGGCGAAAGCUUGCAACUGGGCUCUAACUUACGCUGAGGUACGAAAGCUAGGGGAGCGAAUGGG